CUUUUUCAUUUACAUGUUUAAUUUUGUACAUUUUAUUUUCUUGUUUGCACUUUCGAACAACUUGACUUUCAGUUUCAUUCUAAUUGUAAGUUACUUUUUCAUGAUCAUUUUGUUUAUUUGCAUUUGGUAUGUUUGUGGUUUUUUGCUCUAAUGCCUACUUGCUUUCUUGUUCAUAUUUGAAAUUUGUAUAUAAAGCUUAAAUUCAAAUACCAUUUUUUGAGCAAAAGAAUCCCAAAGAUUGAAGACUUUAUCAUUGUAAGGUAGACUUGUGGCUUUUGCUUUGAGAAACCACCAUUUUUGUUAGAUACUUUAUCUCCUGAGUUCAUUUGUUGAACUAGAGUGUUUAUCUUCAUUUGUUAGAUUUUAGGAACGGAGCAAAUGAGAAAUUGCAAAGAAACCCAAGCAACUCAUCAAUGCUUUUCCUCUCUUUUACUUUCAUUGAAUAUAAGCUCUCUCUUUUGUUUUCAAGUCAUUUUGAGUUAGAAAAAUAAAUGUGGUAGAUUCGUAAUCUAAUUGUUAAAUUUUGUAGUUAAUUUGGAGUUGUAUUUUCUUUUGCUUGUAGUUAUUGUGAUUCUUGAGUUUAUUACCUGGGGAGAUGAUUAUGAUCAUUUUUCUCCAUUAAGUAGAGCUAGGUUUGAAAAUAGCUAAGAGUUCAUGUGAAUAAAUUUUGUAGGUUUUUUUUAAUUUUUAUUUGGAUGAAAAUCUCAAUUCUUUCUCUAUUUCAAAGUUUCAAAGAAUUGAAAACUCUUAGCUUGUAAUGCAUUCAAUAUAAUAUUACUAAAACCAAGGUAUGUAAUAUGAUCUUGCUCUACUUCUUAAUUAUUUUUAUACAGGUUUAUUUCUAAUAUAAUUAAGUAGCUAAUAAAUAUAUAUAUAUAUAUAUAUAUAUAUAUAUAUAUAUAUAUAUAUAUAUAUAUAUAUAUAUUGCUUCCUUCUCUCACAAGAUUUCAAUAAUUUUUCAAGUUUCAACAAAUAAUUAGAGAAUUCAUUGAAGAAGUUGUUGCUUAAUAUAAUAAGUUGAUGAAUCUAUCACUUCACUUGGUUAGUUGUUGCUUUAUUAUUAUAUAUAUACAUAUAUGUGAUGUUUCAAUUUAUUGAAUGGGACAUUGCAAAAUGCUAGGUAAUUAAUUAAGCUCAAACUUCUUUUACAACUUCACAUUCACUAUUGCAUAUUAAUUAAAGUUUUCAUUGAAAAUGACCCUAUCUAUAUCUUGAAGGCUACAUUGAAAAUUUUCUAAUGUCUAUUAAUUAACUUUAACUUUGGAAUGAUACGCUAAAUCACUCCAUUCUCUAUAGUUGAUUUCUUUGUUGAGUGUAUUUUUAUAAUGUAGGUGGAUAGAAGGAAGUUUUGGGUACGGAUGAAGAUGCAACUCACUUGGCCUUUGAGUUUUAUAUUCGUUACUUUAAUCUUUAAAACUCGAUGGAGAAACAACUUUGUUACUUUUUUUUUCAAUGUAUUAGACAUAACCAAAUGUGUUAUGUAAUUACAAAGUUUCAAUUAUGAUAUGAAACUUUUGAUAUUUUGAUUUGAAUGUAUGAAUACGAUUUGCUUAA
Molecule: long non-coding RNA, 1554 nt
Filed under: Cucumis sativus (cucumber)
Lineage: Eukaryota; Viridiplantae; Streptophyta; Magnoliopsida; Cucurbitales; Cucurbitaceae
Description: long non-coding RNA (CSAT_LNC001303)
Source: RNAcentral